Alligator mississippiensis (American alligator) is the source of this 5573-nucleotide long non-coding RNA. RefSeq lists it as uncharacterized. The transcript is spliced from 2 exons. NCBI's taxonomy places the organism in Eukaryota, Metazoa, Chordata, Crocodylia, Alligatoridae. The record is from RefSeq and is a predicted model, not a curated record.
GCGGCGGCGGGGGGGUCUCCCUGCACGCCGCCCACCUUAUCAAGUCUCCCUCCCCCUGCAGGCAUCUUCCUUUCAUAGCCUCAUCAGCCUCUCCUCAUAGAGAAGCGCUUUUCCCCCUCGAAUCGUGCUCGUUGCCCUUCUCUGGACCGUCCCCAGGUCUUCUGUGUCCUUCUCCAGGUGCGGAGAGCAGAGCUGGGCACGGCAUUCAAGGGGUGGACGCCCCGCGGGGCGUCGCGGUGACGCGUUCGGUCCCGCCGCGUAACCCGCUCUGCGUACCUGCCUGUCGGGAUGUCCUUGCUUCGGGGUUGCACCUUAUUUAAGGGCAUCGCGGGGGAAACGGUCGAGGUGGCGUUACGGAUAAGGACCGGCAAAGUCAGGACCGAGGGAACCUGUGUCGCUGUCUCGGAAGUUGCGGUAAACUGACUCCGCGCUGUACGCUGGCAGUACACCAGAUAGAGGUUAUUAUGGAUAUAAUAACCACCAGAUGGAGGUUAUUGUUAAAAACUGGCAGUACGCCAGAUAGAGGUUGUUAUAGAUACAAUAACCGCCAGAUAGAGGUUAUUGUUAACAUGGCAGUGAAAACCUUGGAAGCUGCCCUGGGUAGGUAGGGCUGGGAGUCCUGUCCGUGGUGUUCACAGGCCCUCCCACCCCCCUCAACUAAGAGAGAACAAAAGUCCGAGAUGCCAAAAAUGCCCUAUAAAAUGGCACAAGCUAAAAGCCAGGGUGAUGAGGAUGCUGCGCCAGCGGGGAAACAGCUGGAUAGUUGUUGUAGAUGAGUUUGCUUCACUUCAGCUUUCUUCCAUGACCUCCCACAAUGAUGAUGGCAGUACACCAGCAUAAUCUCAGGGAUCAGUAUGUCCUGCCCCUCGCUUUUCCCGUAAUGGAAAGAAAAACAAAAGAGGGAAGCUCUUUUCAUCUGGUCUGUUUGAACAUCUCCCGCAGCAGUGGGGCACUGACAGCUCUGCUUCUUCCCUUUGACAAGUUAGGACGUUCUUGAUGUUUUGGGGGAGUGUUCCUAAAACUAUACCAAAAGCACAAGCGCUUCUGUGGGAUGGCUUGGAUAGGGACGGUCCUUCUGUGAGCAGGGGCUUGGGCUAGAUGACCUCCUGAGGUCCCUGCCAGCCCUGCUCUUCUGUGAUUCCUUGGCUUACUUUGGCUAAUCAAAAAUUCAUCCAAAACUUUAAAGUUACAAGGAAUUAGCCUCACUUCCUGGAUAGCGUGUCUGGUAAAUAUUCUCGUGCAGCACAGAUGCUACCUGUACUUCUCCUUUUUGACCAUACGCCUAGAAAUAAUGGUCACAAGCUGGCAGAGGUAGAUUCACACUAGACAUCAGGAGGCGCUACUUCACUGUCAGGGCGUCUAGGACCUGGAACCAACUUCCAAGAGAAGUGGUGCUCGCUCCUACCCUGGGGGUCUUUAAGAGGAGGUUAGACGAACACCUUGCCGGGGUCGUUUGACCCCAGUACUUUCUCCUGCCACGGCAGGGGUCGGACUUGAUGAUCUGCUCAGGUCCCUUCCGACCCGGCCAACUAUGAAACUAUCUUGUACACGUGGAGUUUUUUAAGCUCAAAAAUGCCUUUUUUUUUUUUUUUUUAACGUUAUGGUUAAAGUUAGUCAUGGGUAGUGCUAGCCAUCUUGCGAGGGGAAUCUUAUUUAUCCUUUUGCAUAUGGCAGUUUCUAUUUAUUGUGGGGAAAAGGGGAGCAGAUAGUUUUUGUGCCAGCAUUGGUAUGCUUUUGUGACAAUUUAGCAAGGUUAGGUUAAGCAAGCAGUUUUUUUAACAGUAAGAAAUGAGUAUGAUAUUAAUAUGGUUACAUUUAACAGACUGCAUGGUAACAGAUGUAGUGCUGCUUGGAUGUGGUUGGCAGUUGUGUACUUCUAGUUGAACAUUUAAUUUUAGUUACUGCUCUCAUAAUAGAAUUGAUGAAAUAUCACUGCAACUGCCUUAUUGCUUUUCCUUGAGCUUCCUUCUGCCUGUCUCAUGUCACACAUUUAAUCAUAUUUUGCUGUAAUAUUAUUUAAUAGCAGUAAUUGUGAUGACAGUUUUACAAGUGGAACUGAUAGUUAACUUCAUUAAAUGGGAGCUGUUCAGGUUGUUGUUUUUAGAAACUGCCCAAGUUUUAAAUGAAAACUAUCCUGAGUCCAAAUAAAAAUAGAUAUACCUUAUCAUGUAGCAGAAAUAAAUUGGGGAGGACCACAAAUUCUUCUUUUAAGUAGAAGGGCCACACAUUGAUCUGUUUAUGGUAAACUUUGUUUCAUUUCCCACUGCAGCAAUACAUUAGCCGUUUGCAUCUUGCAGUCAGUGUGAAAAGUGAUAUUUGCUGGGGAUUCACUUUUGAGAGCCUAGAAAGUAGAGGCGCGCGCGCGCACACACACAAUUGCCAUCACAUCCAUAGCCCUAGAAGUCCAUGCACUUUUCUGAAAAGUCAAGUAUCAGCAGAAAAUGAAAGAAUUAUCAUGCCACACUUUGAUUUAACAGUUCACAUUUGAUAAAUGUCAAUGAAAACCUGUAGUUAACAUGUAAUUGCACAAUAAUAAACAAUUGUGCCUGGUUAAAGCAGCUGAAAAUUAUGCUAAAGUAGAUGUAUUUCAUUGUCACAUACCAGAUAUCUUUCUUAUUGGUUUGUGAAUAGAAUGGAUUAGAUUUUUUCAAAUUUGUUUUUGGUUUUUGGAUGACUUUGUUUGAAAUUUUGAUUUAAAAAAAAAUCCUGCUGUUUUAACAGCUCCUUCCUGACUAUAAAUGAUGGUGACUAUGAAAGUUUCUAAAAUUAUUGACUUAGUGUGUGUGGUCUUUAGAAGAAAUAGCAGCUUGCAUUAAAUAAGCAAAUAAGUUCCUUUAGAGCUACUUGAUCUUAACUCUGAAAUUAGAAUUUAAGAUUAAACGCUCGAACCUUACAGUAUUUUGUUAAAGGAAAACAAUCCUAUUCUUCAUAGCGUUUGUUUUUACACAAAAUUGACUAUAGAAUCAAAUUUACCAAACCAUAGUAGCUUUUUGUAUCGUGUUUAUUGCUUUAAACAGAAAAUGGCGCAAGUCGCAGGUCAGGCCUACUAAUGUUGAAAUGUUGCCAUCUAGUAAAUUGUGGUUAGACUGCUUAGCAUAGUUGCAUUAUUCUGCCUUUAUUAGAAUGCGAGAGGCAAGGACUUCUGGACCGUCGCAGUUACAACAUCAUUCUUGUGCUACUGUAUAUGAUAGUGCAUAUUUCUUGUUUGAAGGAGCACAUUAGAGAAUUAUUAUUUUUUUUUUUUUUAGUAUAGCGCACCACAUGGCGAAAUGAGAACCCAAAAUAACCCACUAGGGACUUUGGUAGCACCUUUUUAACAUUUCCUGAGGUGUCAUUUUAACUGAAAAUAGUAAAUAAAACAGACAAUAACUGUUUAAUUGUCCAGCGUUAAUUUUCCUUGAAGGUUUUACUGUAAUGAGAAAUGUCUUGGUUUUGCUUCUCACUGGCUAAAAUCAGUGUCUGUUAUGACUGUUUAAAGCCCUCAUAGAAGGUAGACAUGGUAGAAACUGGCUGUGAUCAUUUUAUUGAUUCCUCACCUUCAAUUUAAGAAUAUCUUAAUGACAAUUAUUAGAAUUGUUUAGCAAAUACAGGAAUGCAGAAUAACUCGGAAGCCAAGCACUGCAAAACUGCAGUGCUUAGCUGCAGAGGAAUAGCAUUUGCUAGCAUCCAGGCUAUAAAACACAAUUAAGUUUUGACUUCUUGCGGAUGCACUUGAAAUGGCACCCAUGUAAACUAUGGUAAAAGACCUGCUGAUAGACUGGCAAUAUGCAAGACUUCAGACUCCACCAUAGGCACUGAUUUGGAAAUAUCACUAGUUCAUAGAAUACUUGGUUCCAAAUUCUGGCUGAUCAGACAGUAAAAGGCAUUUAUAACCACAUGUCUAAAGUAUCACCGGAGAAAGCAAGAGGGACUAGUGCAGUGGGUUAAUUGCAUUGUCUGUCUUCUCCCCAGAAUAAAAAUGAUAGCAAGGGCUAUAGCAAAGCUCUACAGAGUUACUUGGCAUGUUUCUAAAUUGCUUGGAAUAUUGCAAGAUUAAGGACUUGUUUGCACAGGGUGUAGCUACCUGAUAUUAGCCCGAGUUGCUAUGGACUGUGUCCACAUGAUGUAAUUUGUUAUGGAGAAGUAACUAGAGAGGUACAGCAUAGUCUGUCCUCCCAUUCCAAGCAGCAGCAUUUUCACCUUGUAGCAAGCUGCUGUAUAUUCAGGUGCCUGGCUCAUUCCUGUGUGUGCGGUGUUGAUGGUUUUUUGGCUGUGUGCCCGUAUUACUUUGCACCCCACCCAAACUAGUUUUUUCUCUCUCACUUCUGUAUCCUCUAAUGCACACUGGUUGUACUGAUUGGAAGUGACUUGUUUUUUCCGCCUUUAAAUGAAUGGUGUGCAGCCAGGUUUGAUACUUUGUGCUUUUGUACAUUUGCACUUGCCUGCUUCUGGAGUUGCACACUAACGUUUUAUUCUAGCCUUGUGCGUUUCCUUAGCAUGUGUUCAGAGAUUUUGGAUUUUCUCACCCUGUAGGAUGAGGUGAAGUUUCAGGAAAUCCUGGCGUCUUAAUCUUGCAACAUGGGUAUUUUUGAGGCUGUCAAAAGAUGCCUCCGUGGGGUCAUAAUUGAAUGCCAUGCACAUUGUUUUGAAACUGAGAGUAUGCAAAGGCUUUCGAGGGGGCAGAGGACAAAACGUCUCCAGCAGUGUUUGAGGCACCUCUCCGGAUAGCAAGGAGCUAAGGAUUUUGGCACAGAACACAAGUGUUUAUGAUCUUGCUAAUGAAGCAAAGAAGUGGAGGACUCCAGGACCAACAGCAGCUCUGGGGAAAGAGGUACCUGGAAGUCGGGACCGGAGAUGCUUGAAAAACCUCCGGAGACGGACCUACACUCCACCUCCAUACCCAUAAGCCUUUCAGCUGUGGAAGAACCCAGUCUCCUAGCACUGCUGUGGAGGAGACUGAGGCUGCACCUGAAAUGCUUGCCGUUGCCUUUAUCAGCUGCCUCAUGUCAUGUUGUGAAGAAAAGAAAACAAGAAGUGUUUGACAUUGUAGAAGUGUGAGAUAUAAGACUGUGUGUGUCAGGAAAUAAGGCAGUUGUUGAAGAAUGAGAGAGGGGAAGGCCUCUCCAAAGCCAGGUGUCUGAAAGAGAGGCUUUUCCCUGACCCAAGAGACUGAAAUGGAAAGUUGCAGAGCCAGCCGGCGGAGGCUUGUGAACAGACUAACGUGAUUGCAAAGCAUGCUCCAUGAAAAUUUCCACUUCCCCUCUACUAUUGUGCACUAAAGGAAGUGGUGGUGGUCACAUCAGCUUGACUCUUCAGUCCUACAGAUCCUAAGUAAUUUGCUCUGAGAACCACAAGAACCCCUAUCCCGUGGGUUUUUUCCAUGUGAGAGUGAAAGCGGCAGCUUCUGGGAGUGGACUACUUUGUUCCCUUCCUGUUCAAACAUGGGUUAUUGCCAUGCCAUUCCAGCCUUGGAGUCAUGAAUGGAAAUGCCAAAGCAAGGAGUGGCUACAUGAACUGAUAACUUCCUUGUUAUAGAUUUGCACAAUGUUACAGUAUUUGCAUCUUUGGAAAAAUAAAGAAUGGCUCUAUUUAAA